Molecule: ribosomal RNA, 1364 nt
Filed under: bacterium 1/3/20
Lineage: Bacteria
Description: 16S ribosomal RNA
Rfam family: Bacterial small subunit ribosomal RNA
Source: RNAcentral
GGUGAGUGGCGAACUGGUGAGUAACACGUGGGAAACCUGCCCAGAAGCGGGGGAUAACACCUGGAAACAGAUGCUAAUACCGCAUAACAACUUGGACCGCAUGGUCCGAGUUUGAAAGAUGGCUUCGGCUAUCACUUUUGGAUGGUCCCGCGGCGUAUUAGCUAGAUGGUGNGGUAACGGCUCACCAUGGCAAUGAUACGUAGCCGACCUGAGAGGGUAAUCGGCCACAUUGGGACUGAGACACGGCCCAAACUCCUACGGGAGGCAGCAGUAGGGAAUCUUCCACAAUGGACGAAAGUCUGAUGGAGCAACGCCGCGUGAGUGAAGAAGGGUUUCGGCUCGUAAAACUCUGUUGUUAAAGAAGAACAUAUCUGAGAGUAACUGUUCAGGUAUUGACGGUAUUUAACCAGAAAGCCACGGCUAACUACGUGCCAGCAGCCGCGGUAAUACGUAGGUGGCAAGCGUUGUCCGGAUUUAUUGGGCGUAAAGCGAGCGCAGGCGGUUUUUUAAGUCUGAUGUGAAAGCCUUCGGCUCAACCGAAGAAGUGCAUCGGAAACUGGGAAACUUGAGUGCAGAAGAGGACAGUGGAACUCCAUGUGUAGCGGUGAAAUGCGUAGAUAUAUGGAAGAACACCAGUGGCGAAGGCGGCUGUCUGGUCUGUAACUGACGCUGAGGCUCGAAAGUAUGGGUAGCAAACAGGAUUAGAUACCCUGGUAGUCCAUACCGUAAACGAUGAAUGCUAAGUGUUGGAGGGUUUCCGCCCUUCAGUGCUGCAGCUAACGCAUUAAGCAUUUCCGCCUGGGGAGUACGGCCGCAAGGCUGAAACUCAAAGGAAUUUGACGGGGGCCCGCACAAGCGGUGGAGCAUGUGGUUUUAAUUCGAAGCUACGCGAAGAACCUUACCAGGUCUUGACAUACUAUGCAAAUCUAAGAGAUUAGACGUUCCCUUCGGGGACAUGGAUACAGGUGGUGCAUGGUUGUCGUCAGCUCGUGUCGUGAGAUGUUGGGUUAAGUCCCGCAACGAGCGCAACCCUUAUUAUCAGUUGCCAGCAUUAAGUUGGGCACUCUGGUGAGACUGCCGGUGACAAACCGGAGGAAGGUGGGGAUGACGUCAAAUCAUCAUGCCCCUUAUGACCUGGGCUACACACGUGCUACAAUGGAUGGUACAACGAGUUGCGAACUCGCGAGAGUAAGCUAAUCUCUUAAAGCCAUUCUCAGUUCGGAUUGUAGGCUGCAACUCGCCUACAUGAAGUCGGAAUCGCUAGUAAUCGCGGAUCAGCAUGCCGCGGUGAAUACGUUCCCGGGCCUUGUACACACCGCCCGUCACACCAUGAGAGUUUGNAACACCCAAAGUCGGUGGGGUAA